Molecule: small RNA, 539 nt
Filed under: Pan troglodytes (chimpanzee)
Lineage: Eukaryota; Metazoa; Chordata; Mammalia; Primates; Hominidae
Description: processed transcript
Source: RNAcentral
GGGGAGAAAGUGCUAGGAGCUGGGACCCCUCCCCCAUCCCUCACUCUCAUCAGAAGAGGAGAGGAGAGGAGAGGUUGGGACCAGUCUUCACCCCCUGGAAUGUCACUGAUGAUAAAACCAUAAUGGUGGCAGCCCCAGCAUUUACAAAGAGGAGGGAUGCGGCAGGGCCAUCUUGCUGAAAGCCCGAACUAAAGGAAGCUGUGUUUGGACAACAGGCACAAUUUGGGGUGGUGGCACAGGGCCACACACCUCCGGUUACCCCUUGGAUCAACCACAGCAGGUGCACCUGUCCCUGACUCAGAGCCCUGGAACCACACUCACCAGUUCUCAGGACUCCUUCUCCAGCCAACUCAGCAUGGGGCCUUGUCUUGCUAUCUAUAUUCUCUGCCUAGGUGAUCUCAUCCAUACUCGUGGCUUUAAAUACCAUCUAUAUGCCAGUGACUCACAAAUGUAUAUUUCCAGCCCAGACCUCUCCUUGGAGCUCCAGACUCCGAGAUGUCUGUUUGUGAUGUCCAAAUACAUCUCCAAGGCAAUGGAUC